Molecule: ribosomal RNA, 253 nt
Filed under: uncultured bacterium
Lineage: Bacteria
Description: partial 16S ribosomal RNA
Rfam family: Bacterial small subunit ribosomal RNA
Source: RNAcentral
UACAGAGGUCCCAAGCGUUGUUCGGAUUCAUUGGGCGUAAAGGGUGCGUAGGCGGCGCGGUAAGUCGGGUGUGAAAUCUCGGAGCUUAACUCCGAAACUGCAUUCGAUACUGCCGUGCUUGAGGACUGGAGAGGGGACUGGAAUUUACGGUGUAGCGGUGAAAUGCGUAGAUAUCGUAAGGAAGACCAGUGGCGAAGGCGGGUCUCUGGACAGUUCCUGACACUGAGGCACGAAGGCCAGGGGAGCAAACGGG